RNAcentral lists this ribosomal RNA (467 nucleotides) under uncultured bacterium. RNAcentral describes it as "partial 16S ribosomal RNA". It matches the Rfam family "Bacterial small subunit ribosomal RNA", at positions 28 to 506 of the family's 1533-position model. The record is from RNAcentral.
GACGAACGCUGGCGGCGUGCUUAACACAUGCAAGUCGAACGGUGAAGCUCCAGCUUGCUGGAGUGGAUCAGUGGCGAACGGGUGAGUAACACGUGAGCAACCUGCCCCUGACUCUGGAAUAAGCGCUGGAAACGGCGUCUAAUACUGGAUACGAGAAGGGUCCGCAUGGGCACUUUCUGGAAAGUUUUUCGGUUGGGGAUGGGCUCGCGGCCUAUCAGCUUGUUGGUGAGGUAAUGGCUCACCAAGGCGACGACGGGUAGCCGGCCUGAGAGGGCGACCGGCCACACUGGGACUGAGACACGGCCCAGACUCCUACGGGAGGCAGCAGUGGGGAAUAUUGCACAAUGGGCGAAAGCCUGAUGCAGCGACGCCGCGUGAGGGAUGACGGCCUUCGGGUUGUAAACCUCUUUCAGCAGGGAAGAAGCGAAAGUGACGGGACCUGCAGAAGAAGCACCGGCUAACUACGU